AAAGCCCUAGUCUGUUCUCUUGCUGAAGCGUAUCGUUGCCUCGCAUGGAAAAUCGAAAGAAAAAUCACAUCUGCAACUCUCAGAGAAAGAAACACGAUCGGUGAGCUAUCUUACUCGACCUGGAAAGGGCUUUGAUUUGCAAGUAAACCUCGGACCCAGAAGAUCGAAGGAGCUCGCCGGACACCUGCAUCACUCAGACAAAUAAACAUGGUUGAGAUUAUUUUGUGAUUUGGAUCGGUCAGAUAAAGAGGCAGUGCAAUUUCUGAUUGAGAAACUUCAAUCCCUGACAACCAAAAAAGCUUGGUUAGACGAACAGUGCUUCUUAAUAGUAGUGUUG
Long non-coding RNA from Ziziphus jujuba (common jujube), 337 nucleotides. RefSeq lists it as uncharacterized. The record is from RefSeq and is a predicted model, not a curated record. NCBI's taxonomy places the organism in Eukaryota, Viridiplantae, Streptophyta, Magnoliopsida, Rosales, Rhamnaceae. The transcript is spliced from 4 exons.